AGAGUAUUGGGAUUAUAGGUGUGAGCCACUGCCAGAAAAACGUUUCCUAAGACAAGGCAGGUCUUACAUUAUAUUUAAAUUUUUUUUAAUGAUGUCUUUUUUGGCAGUGCACAGCCAGAGAACAACACAUCACACACAAGAAACAGUUGUGCUCAUGUGAUGGGGGCCUCAGCACUAGGAAGGAGUGGACUGUUGGCGCACGCAGCAGCUUGAAUAAAUCUGAAAGUCACUACGCUGCGUAAGAGAAGCCAAAUAAAGCGCAUGCUGUGUACAGAGGGUGUCGAGAAUGUGUCCUACGUGACGGAAAGCAGAUCCGUGGUUCCCUGCAGACUGGCAGGAGCAGAUUCCAAAGGCACAGGAAGAAGCUUGCAGUACAAAGAUAAAAAUCUAAAGUGGUUGCUGUGGAGGACAGGGGUCAGUGGUGGAAGUGAGACCGAAAUAGACUCUGAAGUAAUAUCUGGACUUUGAAAUUGCGCCAACCCUGAGACCAAAAUUUGGAAGGUGGCCCUGAGCAGCAGCUGAAGGGAAGUGGGAGCUUGCCUGUUCACUCUGGCUGGUCAUAUGCAGAAAACCGAAACUAGACCCCUUUCUGACACCUUAUAUAAAAAUUAACUCAAGAUGCAUUAAAGAUUUAAACGUGAGACCUAAAACCAGAAAAAUCCUAGAAGAAAACCUAGGCAAUACCAUUGAGGACAUAAGCAUGGGCAAAGACUUUCAUGACUAAAACACCAAAAGGAAUGGCAACAAAAGCCAAAAUUGACAAAAGGUUUCCUUAACGACAACAAAAAAGGGAGUAAUCCUACCUACUGUAAGAGUCAUGACUCUUGAUUGCAGCUGACAGAAACUCAUGACA
RNAcentral lists this long non-coding RNA (853 nucleotides) under Pan troglodytes (chimpanzee). Its description in RNAcentral is "lincRNA". Lineage: Eukaryota; Metazoa; Chordata; Mammalia; Primates; Hominidae. The record is from RNAcentral.